Molecule: long non-coding RNA, 335 nt
Organism: Anopheles merus
Lineage: Eukaryota; Metazoa; Arthropoda; Insecta; Diptera; Culicidae
Exons: 3
Source: RefSeq, a predicted model, not a curated record
GUAUCAACAAGUGUCAAAACAUUGCAGAAAUUUCUAAAGCGUCAAGUGAAGCCAACAAGUGAAAAGUGAAUCUGUUGUUAUAAUCUGAAGCAAGCAUAAAAUGGAAGCAUCGUGUAUGAGUUCUCUUGAGACAUCAAAACGAACCGGGCAAUUCUACCGCCGGAUUCAGAAGCGCACUGCUGAAGAAGAAGUGCUAGAGGAAGAAGAAUACAGCAGGAGCGGUGUGGAAAAUGAUUUGUCACACACCAACGGAGACAUCUCAAAGAAUGGAGCAGCUUUUUAUUACCAACAGAAAUUGAUGUUAACUGCUUCAUAUCAAAUGGUUGUACAUUGUU